CGCUAUAUCAACAGCAGUGCACCGGAAAGACCUGAAGCAUCUACCGAAGAAGAAACGGAUCGAAUCAUGUUUUUUCAAGUGUUUUUCCCGCUAGUUGGUGCUAUCGGCGUCCUGAUUUUCCCUGGCGGAUGGUACAAACAGGUAAAUACUGCUUCUCUUUUUUGCAUCCAAGCAUGUCGUGUUUAUUUUAAAAAAAAGUUUACUCCGUUUUUAGCGUUGCAGUUAUGACAGGCAAAAUCAGCCAGUACUUUAAAAAGCGACCUCGCGAGGAGGAAAGUCAAGAGUCCAGGUGAAACACAGUAGAGAUAAAAACGUAACAGGCAGUUAAAAUGCUAUAAUUCAUGGUGGAGACAACGUGGAAAUUUGUGUCAGGUCUGAAAGUACUUCGCAAGGGACUGGUGAUCGCGAGGGUCAGAAUGCAGGACAGGACGAGUCGGCGAGGCGAGGGUAAUUAAUUAAUUAGUUUCCAAUUAGGAGCAUAACAACGCAAAGCCGACGUGUACGUGGUUUUUAUUCCUCUUUCCAGAUCUUCUCAAAAACACAGAGCCAGUGGCUUUGACAAGCAGUGGCUCAAUCAAUUUACCUGGCUCAGGCAUACUGAGGAAGGCAUGCACUGCUAUUUAUGCCAAAAGCACUGUGCCCCAACACAGCAGGCAAUUGCUGCGUCCUUAGUGAGACAGCCAUCAACCAACUACAGGCUGGACACAUUAAAAAGACAUGAGGUGACAGCCAUUCACAAAGCAGCAGAAGAGAAGGAGAAAUAUAUUAAAGAUGGUAGUACCUAAAAAAACUCAACUAAUAAAGUUACAAAAAAUAAAUAACAUAGUUUAGAUAGUUUAAGAAAUAAUUGGUUGUCGUUUUUUUUUAGGGAGGACACUGCAGCGUAUACAUAUAUAUGAUGGAAAACACUAUCACUCUUCAUGUCUGUAUCAGAAUAAAAACAAAAAUACUUAAUGCAUGAUGAAUUGUUUUGUUUAAGGUGAAGACACCUCUGCGGAACAGACUGAAGGAGAGGCACUUGGAUGUCUGUUGUAAGGUGGCCGUUGAUGGACCAGACCAGGAGGCCUUGGACUACAAGGAGUGCAUGAGGAGGUUCUACAGAAUGAAAAAGAGGAGGCUGAAAUGUUCUGUCUGGUUGCGAGAUGUGUGGAUGAAGUGUACUUUCAAUUUAAAGUUGCCAGCUGAUUUGUGUAUGUAUAUAGUUUUAAUAAAUGAAUGCUUUAACAUGAUAAUGGUCAC
RNAcentral lists this long non-coding RNA (1239 nucleotides) under Xyrichtys novacula (pearly razorfish). The record is from RNAcentral. Lineage: Eukaryota; Metazoa; Chordata; Actinopteri; Labriformes; Labridae.